GAUGAACGCUGGCGGCGUGCCUAACACAUGCAAGUCGAACGAAGUUAAACGCUGAAUUGAUGGUAGCUUGCUAUUGGAUUUUCUUGUUUAACUUAGUGGCGGACGGGUGAGUAACACGUGAGCAACCUGCCUUUCGAGAGGGGAUAACGGACUGGAAACGGUCGCUAAUACCGCAUGACAUAGUUCGAGUGGCACUCAACUUGGAUAUCAAAGGAGCAAUCCGCUGAAAGAUGGGCU
RNAcentral lists this ribosomal RNA (237 nucleotides) under uncultured bacterium. Its description in RNAcentral is "partial 16S ribosomal RNA". It matches the Rfam family "Bacterial small subunit ribosomal RNA", at positions 28 to 231 of the family's 1533-position model. The record is from RNAcentral.